CUCAAUUUAAGGAUCGUUGGAUUUACUAUUUGGGCAACAGUCACUCACCUGUUCUGAAAGAACCAACUGGUGCAUCUGGUGAGCUGAUGUCUGGAAGUACCGGCGUGUGGCCCAGAUUCACCUCUGCUUGGCAGAGAAGAAGAAAAGAGAGCGAAGGAAGAAGGAAUGGCACAAUGGCAAAUAAGAAGAGCCGUGUAGGAUCCGUGACAGAAGAACCAGAGAGACAGAGAAGAGAGAAAGCAGAAGAGGAAAGAAGAAGAAGAAGAAACAAAGAAGCCAAAGUGGACUAUGCAUCUGCAUAUGUCCAGGAGUGGCGGAACAAGCUGAUAAGGAAACGUGUGGAAUGCAACUUGAAAGAAAUGGACAGAGAUCAAAGGAUGGCAGCACUAAAGGAACAAGACGAAAUAGAAUGCCGCAUACAGAUGCAGGCCGUUAGUCAUCAGAUCGCCAUGGAGCAAGAAAGCAAAAGAAGACGUGAGGAAGCGCGGAAAGAGGAGAUGAAGAAAACCGUGUUGGAGAACUUCAAUGUCACCGAGUACCUGCCAGAACUGGAGGAAAUCCGACUGAAGAAGCUAGAGAAGAAGGAAAAGGAAAUACUUACCAAGCAAGAAGAAGCAAGACAGCAACGAUGGCAGAAAGAAAAGGAGCAGCGAGACAAGUAUGAGAAGAAAGAGAAGAAAGACGAGAGGAAGGAAGAUAAGAGAAAAGAGAAGUGGCAGAAGAAGGAAGAGGAAAUAAGGAAGAAAGAAGAGAAAGAAAGGCAGCAAAGGAUUAAAAGACGGACAGAACGACAACAGAAGAAGGACGAGAAAAGAGAGAAGGCUGUUUCAAAGAUGGUCACAAAGGAGCUCAAAAAGGAGGACGAACGACUGAAGGAGGAAGAGGAGAGAAGAAGAAAACAAGAGAGAGAGGAGCAGAAAAGGGAGAAGAAGAAGAAACAGCAGGAGCUAAAGACAUUUGAGAGAGAGAAGAAAAAAUGGAUGGAACAAUGCGAAAAGGAUGAGAAGGAGAAGAAAAAACAGCGGAAGAAGGAAGAAAAGGAAAGAAGACUGAGCAACAGGAAGGCAGAGAAGAAGAAGGAAAAAUAUGAGGUCACAGCUCAGGACGUCUGGGCGGAGAGGAGGCUGAAGACGGUGGAGACCGGGGCAGCUGAUCUCAGCCCCUUCAUCUGUGAAUUUUCUGCAGACGCCAACCCGAGUCCAGCGGAGGAAACGGUGACUUGGUGGAAACCAAAGCUCUGGUUUCGCACCAACGUCGUCCGCAUCCACCCAGUUUAAAAGGUGGAUGGACCGUCCUGGAGGAGCCCACCCCCUCAAGAGGACACCGUCUUCAUCUCCUCCUCAUCAGAGGAGGAGACACGUACCAAUUUAUUUGUUUUACUAUUUGUUCUGUUAGGUAAAGUUUAAGUUAGAUUGAGAUAAGAUGUUCUGUUCUAUGUCUGUUCUGACACUUUAUUUGUUCUUAUUAUAAGUGAUCGUUUUGUAUUAUUGUGUUUUAGCUGCAGAAGGUGACCCCCAGCAACGACACAACCGAACUGGACCAAGAUCCUGCGUUCCAAGCAGCUCGGGCCCAAGAUGGAGAUCUUAAACCGACGCAGGAACAACAGCUGCACAUUUACACUGAGUGCAGCUGUGGAGGCUGGAGAACUUCAUCCACGGAUAGGACCACCUGGAGAGAAGUUGUCCCCUGCGUUCAUGGAGGCUCAGUGCAGUAAGUAAUCACCUGAGCAGUCAUUUACCUGAGUAGUAAAGUGG
Betta splendens (Siamese fighting fish) is the source of this 1754-nucleotide RNA transcript. RefSeq lists it as uncharacterized. The record is from RefSeq and is a predicted model, not a curated record. NCBI's taxonomy places the organism in Eukaryota, Metazoa, Chordata, Actinopteri, Anabantiformes, Osphronemidae. The transcript is spliced from 6 exons.